This 406-nucleotide ribosomal RNA is filed under the name uncultured bacterium. RNAcentral describes it as "partial 16S ribosomal RNA". It matches the Rfam family "Bacterial small subunit ribosomal RNA", at positions 30 to 526 of the family's 1533-position model. The record is from RNAcentral.
AUUGAACGCUGGCGGCAGGCCUAACACAUGCAAGUCGAACGAGUGGCGGACGGGUGAGUAAUGUCUGGGAAACUGCCUGAUGGAGGGGGAUAACUACUGGAAACGGUAGCUAAUACCGCAUACCAUCGGAUGUGCCCAGAUGGGAUUAGCUAGUAGGUGGGGUAACGGCUCACCUAGGCGACGAUCCCUAGCUGGUCUGAGAGGAUGACCCGCCAAACUGGAAAUGAGACACGGGCCAAACGCCUACGGGAGGCAAGAGUGGGGAAUAGUGCACAAUGGGCGCAAGCCUGAUGCAGCCAUGCCGCGUGUAUGAAGAAGGCCUUCGGGUUGUAAAGUACUUUCAGCGGGGAGGCGUUACCCACAGAAGAAGCACCGGCUAACUCCGUGCCAGCCGCCGCGGUAAUUC